AUACGUAGGGUGCAAGCGUUAAUCGGAAUUACUGGGCGUAAAGCGUGCGCAGGCGGUUUUGUAAGACAGUGGUGAAAUCCCCGGGCUCAACCUGGGGACUGCCAUUGUGACUGCAAGGCUGGAGUGCGGCAGAGGGGGAUGGAAUUCCGCGUGUAGCAGUGAAAUGCGUAGAUAUGCGGAGGAACACCGAUGGCGAAGGCAAGCCCCUGGGCCUGCACUGACGCUCAUGCACGAAAGCGUGGGGAGCAAACAGGAUUAGAUACCCUGGUAGUCCACGCCCUAAACGAUGUCAACUGGUUGUUGGGGAUUUAUUUUCUCAGUAACGAAGCUAACGCGUGAAGUUGACCGCCUGGGGAGUACGGCCGCAAGGUUAAAACUCAAAGGAAUUGACGGGG
RNAcentral lists this ribosomal RNA (395 nucleotides) under uncultured bacterium. RNAcentral's name for it is "partial 16S ribosomal RNA". It matches the Rfam family "Bacterial small subunit ribosomal RNA", at positions 523 to 918 of the family's 1533-position model. The record is from RNAcentral.